AGCACGAAGAGCCAGAGAGC
Molecule: unclassified non-coding RNA, 20 nt
Filed under: Mus musculus (house mouse)
Lineage: Eukaryota; Metazoa; Chordata; Mammalia; Rodentia; Muridae
Description: oocyte_clustered_small_RNA9197
Source: RNAcentral